AUUGGAACUGCUAGGUCAUGGCCUGAACCAGUGAUUGAGCACCAGGUGAGGAGGUGUGGCUAACCCUGGGAGCUCAGGUGCAAGCAAUUUAUAAAGCCUCAGAUGAGGUUACCUCAUUUGAAGGUUAGCAGCUGAGGGAGUAGUAUUUACAUCUGGUGAUUGAUGCCCUUCUGGGGCACCUUCUGGAUUUCACCAGCAUUUAGAAAGGAUAUGCAGGAAAUCAGUGGUCACAGCUGAAUAGGAAAGCUAAGAAGAAGAAGAAGGCAACAUUUAUGAGUGGCCAGAAGCUGCAAGAAAGCAAAGACAUUUCAAUUCUGGAUUUAACAGCUAGGACAAGUGCAAGAAAUUCCCUUCCUUGGAGCUAUGACUUACUGCCUACAAGCUAUUUCAGCUUUCAGCCAAGUAAAUGAAGAGUCAGAAGAAUCUGCAGAGGAAGUUGGAGGACAGACAAUGAUUUUGGAUACAUCAGGCUUGGGCUGGAGUGUGGAUCUGAGGCUGAAUUAUGUCCAGAUUUAAAGUUUAACAGCAAUGAUAUGAUGCGGAUUCUUAAUGUUUCUUCACAAGGAGAGAAUGAUAAGAGCCACUUUCAUCUAUUGGUGCAAGUGUAACUCAAGCAUCGUAGUCACUAGCUACUGAGAACCCUAGUUGAUUUUUAGCCAGCCUUUAUUGGAUUUCAGUUACAAGAACACUGUAUUCACCAUGACUUACUUUUUUAUGUGAGAUCUAAGCCGUAUCUUUAAUUUCACUGGUAUUCUAUGACUCACAUCUUUUCAUCCAGUGUUAUAAAAACUGUUCAUUACUGGUUUAACAGCAAGCAGGAAUUAAGUUACUUCUUUGUAUUUGGUUAGUCUUAAGUCUUCAGACUUAUGUGAAUUAGUACUAUCAUUGAUAAUAGGAAUGAAUUCACUUCAGGAAUCACUUCAGAACUUUAUUUUGGUCAU
RNAcentral lists this long non-coding RNA (941 nucleotides) under Phasianus colchicus (ring-necked pheasant). RNAcentral's name for it is "lncRNA (ENSPCLG00000001315.1)". Lineage: Eukaryota; Metazoa; Chordata; Aves; Galliformes; Phasianidae. The record is from RNAcentral.